AGACCGUAGAGCACUAUAAAAUUGAAAGAGAUAAAAGCCCUAAGUAGCAUAGAUGAAAUUGAGCUCUCGUAUCACUGUAUGAAAUCAAAGCAGAAUUUAAACGGAGUGGUGAAGUUACCAUUUUUCCCUUCACUUUGGUGAAGAGAGAAUUGGAGUCUAGAUAUCUUGCUCUAUGCGGAGAGGGAAAAAAUACUGGGAAGCGAUAACAAAGACGUUUCAAUUACGCUUUCAUCUCUGGAUCUCUGGCUUACAUCAACU
Molecule: long non-coding RNA, 258 nt
Filed under: Olea europaea subsp. europaea
Lineage: Eukaryota; Viridiplantae; Streptophyta; Magnoliopsida; Lamiales; Oleaceae
Source: RNAcentral